This 207-nucleotide ribosomal RNA is filed under the name uncultured bacterium. Its description in RNAcentral is "partial 16S ribosomal RNA". It matches the Rfam family "Bacterial small subunit ribosomal RNA", at positions 568 to 774 of the family's 1533-position model. The record is from RNAcentral.
CUCGUAGGCGGUUCGUCGCGUCCGGUGUGAAAGUCCAUCGCUUAACGGUGGAUCCGCGCCGGGUACGGGCGGGCUUGAGUGCGGUAGGGGAGACUGGAAUUCCCGGUGUAACGGUGGAAUGUGUAGAUAUCGGGAAGAACACCAAUGGCGAAGGCGACUGUCUGGUCUGUAACUGACGCUGAGGCUCGAAAGCAUGGGUAGCGAACA